This 468-nucleotide ribosomal RNA is filed under the name uncultured bacterium. RNAcentral's name for it is "partial 16S ribosomal RNA". It matches the Rfam family "Bacterial small subunit ribosomal RNA", at positions 28 to 507 of the family's 1533-position model. The record is from RNAcentral.
GACGAACGCUGGCGGCGUGCUUAACACAUGCAAGUCGAACGGAAAGGCCCUGCUUUUGUGGGGUGCUCGAGUGGCGAACGUGUGAGUAACACGUGAGUAACCUGCCCUUGACUUUGGGAUAACUUCAGGAAACUGGGGCUAAUACCGGAUAGGAGCUCCUGCUGCAUGGUGGGGGUUGGAAAGUUUCGGCGGUUGGGGAUGGACUCGCGGCUUAUCAGCUUGUUGGUGGGGUAGUGGCUUACCAAGGCUUUGACGGGUAGCCGGCCUGAGAGGGUGACCGGACACAUUGGGACUGAGAUACGGCCCAGACUCCUACGGGAGGAAGCAGUGGGGAAUAUUGCACAAUGGGCGGAAGCCUGAUGCAGCAACGCCGCGUGCGGGAUGACGGCCUUCGGGUUGUAAACCGCUUUCGCCUGUGACGAAGCGUGAGUGACGGUAAUGGGUAAAGAAGCACCGGCUAACUACGUG